UACGGAGGUGGCAAGCGUUGUUCGGAAUUACUGGGCGUAAAGGGCGCGUAGGCGGCUAGGCAAGUCAGGUGUGAAAGCCCCGGGCUUAACUCGGGAACUGCAUCUGAAACUGCCUUGCUUGAGUCCUGGAGGGGGUAGUGGAAUUCCCAGUGUAGCGGUGAAAUGCGUAGAUAUUGGGAGGAACACCGGUGGCGAAGGCGGCUACCUGGACAGUGACUGACGCUGAUGCGCGAAAGCUAGGGGAGCGAACGGG
This 253-nucleotide ribosomal RNA is filed under the name uncultured bacterium. RNAcentral's name for it is "partial 16S ribosomal RNA". It matches the Rfam family "Bacterial small subunit ribosomal RNA", at positions 524 to 776 of the family's 1533-position model. The record is from RNAcentral. RNAcentral also lists the same sequence under 1 other name.